UUGCUUUAAUUCAUUUGGUACGACAGUA
This 28-nucleotide small RNA is filed under the name Bombyx mori (domestic silkworm). RNAcentral describes it as "ovarian small RNA-37971". The record is from RNAcentral. Lineage: Eukaryota; Metazoa; Arthropoda; Insecta; Lepidoptera; Bombycidae.